RNAcentral lists this ribosomal RNA (450 nucleotides) under uncultured Glomeromycotina. RNAcentral describes it as "SSU rRNA". It matches the Rfam family "Eukaryotic small subunit ribosomal RNA", at positions 569 to 1023 of the family's 1831-position model. The record is from RNAcentral. Lineage: Eukaryota; Fungi; Glomeromycota.
AGCAGCCGCGGUAAUUCCAGCUCCAAUAGCGUAUAUUAAAGUUGUUGCAGUUAAAAAGCUCGUAGUUGAAUUUCGGGGUUAGUAGGUUGGUCGUGCCACUGGUACGUACUGGUCUCACUGACUCCUCCUUCCUGAUGAACUGUAAUGCCAUUAAUUUGGUGUUGCGGGGAAACUGGACUGUUACUUUGAAAAAAUUAGAGUGUUUAAAGCAAGCUAACGCUUGAAUACAUUAGCAUGGAAUAAUGAAAUAGGACGUUCGAUCCUAUUUUGUUGGUUUCUAGGAUUGACGUAAUGAUUAAUAGGGAUAGUUGGGGGCAUUAGUAUUCAAUUGUCAGAGGUGAAAUUCUUGGAUUUAUUGAAGACUAACUACUGCGAAAGCAUUUGCCAAGGAUGUUUUCAUUAAUCAAGAACGAAAGUUAGGGGAUCGAAGACGAUCAGAUACCGUCGUAG